ACUCAAAUGAAUUGACGGGGGCCCGCACAAGCGGUGGAGCAUGUGGUUCAAUUCGACGCAACGCGAAGAACCUUACCUGGGCUCGAACGGCUUCCCAACGCCGGUGGAAACAUCGGUAUCCCGCAAGGGAGUGGAGUCGAGGUGCUGCAUGGCUGUCGUCAGCUCGUGUCGUGAGAUGUUGGGUUAAGUCCCGCAACGAGCGCAACCCUUGUCCUGUGUUGCUAUCUCGCAAGAGAGCACUCGCAGGAGACCGCCAGCGAUAAGCUGGAGGAAGGUGGGGAUGACGUCAAGUCCUCAUGGCCUUUAUGUCCAGGGCUACACACGUGCUACAAUGGCCGGUACAAAGCGUUCCCAAGCCGCGAGGUGGAGGCAAUCGCAAAAAACCGGUCUCAGUUCGGAUUGCAGGCUGCAACUCGCCUGCAUGAAGCUGGAAUCGCUAGUAAUGGCAGAUCAGCACGCUGCCGUGAAUACGUUCCCGGGCCUUGUACACACCGCCCGU
This 499-nucleotide ribosomal RNA is filed under the name uncultured bacterium. RNAcentral describes it as "partial 16S ribosomal RNA". It matches the Rfam family "Bacterial small subunit ribosomal RNA", at positions 899 to 1397 of the family's 1533-position model. The record is from RNAcentral.